GAGGCUGCCCCGGUGGAGGGGAGGGUGGCCCUCCUCUCCAUCGCUGCAGCCACCU
RNAcentral lists this microRNA precursor (55 nucleotides) under Ornithorhynchus anatinus (platypus). RNAcentral describes it as "microRNA oan-mir-7408 precursor". Lineage: Eukaryota; Metazoa; Chordata; Mammalia; Monotremata; Ornithorhynchidae. The record is from miRBase by way of RNAcentral.